UGAAAAUGGAUUCAUAUCUCU
This 21-nucleotide non-coding RNA is filed under the name Caenorhabditis elegans. The record is from RNAcentral. Lineage: Eukaryota; Metazoa; Nematoda; Chromadorea; Rhabditida; Rhabditidae.